AACUAGGAUGUUGGCUCAGAAGCAGCCAUACAUUCAAAGAGUGCGUAAUAGCUCACUAGUCGAGAGGUCCUGCGCCGAAAAUGUCCGGGGCUGAAACACGACACCGAAGCUUAGGAAUGUAGUAAUACAUUGGUAGAGGAGCAUUGUUAGCGCAGCGAAGCUGUACCGAUAAGGAGCAGUGGAGUGCUAAGAAGAGAGAAUGCCGGAAUGAGUAGCGAGAGGAAGGUGAGAAUCCUUCCGGCCGAAUAUCCAAGGUUUCCAGAGUAAAGCUGAUCUGCUCUGGGUAAGUCGGGGCCUAAGGCGAGGUCGAAAGACGUAGUCGAUGGAUAACAGGUGGAGAUUCCUGUACUAUGUGUACCCAGAAAUGUGGGGACGCAUGUGGAGAGCACGAGCCGGGAAAGAGAAGACCGGUACAAGCGGGGUAGGAGUAAGGACAGCAAAUCUUCCUUACAAUCCGAAGACGUAAUGUGGACCGAACCAAAGUAGGGAAGCGUGUGAGCCAUGUGCCAAGAAAAGCCGCUAUAGUGAUACACAUACCCGUACCGUAAACCGACACAGGUGGAUGAGGAGAGAAUCCUAAGGCCGACGGAAGAAGCAUUGUUAAGGAACUCGGCAAAAUGACCCCGUAACUUCGGGAGAAGGGGUGCCUGCGAGAGCAGGCCGCAGAGAAUAGGCUCAAGCAACUGUUUAGCAAAAACACAGGUCUAUGCGAAACCGAAAGGUGAGGUAUAUGGGCUGACGCCUGCCCGGUGCUGGAAGGUUAAGAGGAGAGGUUAGCGCAAGCGAAGCUUUGAAUUUAAGCCCCAGUAAACGGCGGCCGUAACUAUAACGGUCCUAAGGUAGCGAAAUUCCUUGUCGGGUAAGUUCCGACCCGCACGAAAGGCGUAAUGAUUUGAGCACUGUCUCGACAAUGCAUCCGGUGAAAUUGAAGUACCAGUGAAGAUGCUGGUUACCUGCGCCAGGACGGAAAGACCCCAUGGAGCUUUACUCCAGCUUGAUACUGGGAUUCGAUACUGUAUGUACAGGAUAGGUGGGAGACGUUGAGCAUAGAACGCCAGUUUUAUGUGAGUCGCUGUUGGGAUACCACCCUUGCAGUAUUGGAUUUCUAACCUGCACCCAUGACCUGGGUGGGGGACAAUGUCUGGCGGGGAGUUUGACUGGGGCGGUCGCCUCCGAAAGGGUAUCGGAGGCGCUCAAAGGUUCCCUCAGAAUGGUUGGAAACCAUUCGAAGAGUGCAAAGGCAGAAGGGAGCUUGACUGCGACACCGACGGGUGGAGCAGGUACGAAAGUAGGACUUAGUGAUCCGGUGGUAUAAAGUGGGAUUGCCAUCGCUCAACGGAUAAAAGCUACCCUGGGGAUAACAGGCUUAUCACUCCCAAGAGUUCACAUCGACGGAGUGGUUUGGCACCUCGAUGUCGGCUCAUCGCAUCCUGGGGCUGUAGUAGGUCCCAAGGGUUGGGCUGUUCGCCCAUUAAAGCGGUACGCGAGCUGGGUUCAGAACGUCGUGAGACAGUUCGGUCCCUAUCCGGCGCGGGCGGAGGAUAUUUGAGAGGAGCUGUCCUUAGUACGAGAGGACCGGGAUGGACGGACCACUGGUGUAUCUGUUGGCUAUCAGAGCCAUGGCAGAGUAGCCAAGUCCGGCAGGGAUAAACGCUGAAGGCAUCUAAGCGUGAAGCCCCCCUCAAGAUGAGAUAUCCCUCAGAAAUGAGUAAGACCCCUUGA
RNAcentral lists this ribosomal RNA (1722 nucleotides) under human gut metagenome. RNAcentral's name for it is "bacterial LSU rRNA". It matches the Rfam family "Bacterial large subunit ribosomal RNA", at positions 1091 to 2841 of the family's 2925-position model. The record is from RNAcentral.